CCCCGACCAGGGAUCGAACCCGCAACCUUUUGGUGUCCAGGACGGUGCUCCAAUCAGCUGAGCCACCCGACCAGGACCUGGCCUAUCAUUUCAGUACAACUGACUGGUGGCACACGAUUUGAAGUUGUCGAAGAAGUGUUAAUGAUGCUGGUGAUACGCCACCACCCCGGGAGAACUUGGAAAGGCACUUUGCUGGGGAAGAAGUACAAACCACUUCCACGCCCGGAAUGCUCUGUGGAAGGUGCGGCUGCCUGGAGAGGCAGGCGGAAGAAAAUUCAGGUGUGUUGUUUACAACGUUAGCAAAGCCUGUUCCUUGAUCUGCUUUGGAAAUGGAAAUUACGGGCUCAGGGGCUCCAGGCUCCAGCCCUCUCACCACUCUGCAAUGACGGUCUCAUCCAUCUUCCCAGCCUAGGAAGAACCGGGGAGCCUCCCAACAGAUUGGAGCUCCUGGGGGGGAAGGUCCCCAACAAACCCCCCUCUCCAGCUCCUGCAGCUUGAACGCCUGAUCUACACAAUUAGCACCUUAUAAUACCCUGUCCUGUUCCCCACUGUCUGCACAGAAGGAUUUAGAGCUUUAUUAGAUCAGCACAUAUGCAGUUAUAUGUAAUGCUCUCCUGCUCCUGGCUCAUGGAUGAUGUCUUGUCUCACCCAGGAAACACGGGCAG
Phyllostomus discolor (pale spear-nosed bat) is the source of this 665-nucleotide long non-coding RNA. RefSeq lists it as uncharacterized. The record is from RefSeq and is a predicted model, not a curated record. The transcript has 2 exons. NCBI's taxonomy places the organism in Eukaryota, Metazoa, Chordata, Mammalia, Chiroptera, Phyllostomidae.